UACGUAGGGGGCGAGCGUUAUCCGGAUUUACUGGGCGUAAAGCGCGUUAAGGCGGUUGGCAAAGUUGGUUGUGAAAUCUCAGGGCUCAACCCUGAAACUGCGACCAAUACUGGUCGACUAGAGUGUGAGAGAGGAAGGUGGAAUUCCCGGUGUAGUAGUGAAAUGCGUAGAUAUCGGGAGGAACACCAGUGGCGAAGGCGGUUGCCUGGGGCUUUGCUGACGCUGAUGCGCGAAAGCGUGGGGAGCGAUCCGG
This 253-nucleotide ribosomal RNA is filed under the name uncultured bacterium. Its description in RNAcentral is "partial 16S ribosomal RNA". It matches the Rfam family "Bacterial small subunit ribosomal RNA", at positions 524 to 776 of the family's 1533-position model. The record is from RNAcentral.